AGCUUUGUGCAGUGGCAGUAUAGUAGCCAAUAAGGUUUAUCCGAGGCACGAUUAUUGCUAAUGGAAAACUUUUCCCAGUACCCUGCCAUGCCGACUUGCAAUAUAGUUGGCAUUGGCAAUUUUUGACAGUCCCUAUGGGGA
Molecule: small nuclear RNA, 141 nt
Filed under: Propithecus coquereli (Coquerel's sifaka)
Lineage: Eukaryota; Metazoa; Chordata; Mammalia; Primates; Indriidae
Description: U4 spliceosomal RNA (ENSPCOG00000001195.1)
Rfam family: U4 spliceosomal RNA
About the family: U4 small nuclear RNA (U4 snRNA) is a component of the major U2-dependent spliceosome.
Source: Rfam by way of RNAcentral